AACGAACGCUGGCGGCGGGGGCUUAGGCAUGCAAGUCGCGCGAGAAAGCCGCAAGGCGAGUACAGCGGCGUAAGGGUGAGUAAUAGGUAGUCAACGUACCUUGCAGACGCGGAUAAAUUCUCCGAAAGGGGUUGUAAUACGCGAUGAGACCACGGGUUCUUCGGGACUUGGGGGUCAAAGGUGGGGGAUCCUUCGGGACCUCGCGCUGUGGGAGCGGACGACCUCCGAUUAGCUAGUUGGCGGGGUAACGGCCCACCAAGGCGAUGAUCGGUAGCCGGCCUGAGAGGGUGUUCGGCCAC
RNAcentral lists this ribosomal RNA (299 nucleotides) under uncultured bacterium. RNAcentral's name for it is "partial 16S ribosomal RNA". It matches the Rfam family "Bacterial small subunit ribosomal RNA", at positions 28 to 311 of the family's 1533-position model. The record is from RNAcentral.